RNAcentral lists this long non-coding RNA (322 nucleotides) under Phoenix dactylifera (date palm). RNAcentral's name for it is "long non-coding RNA (PDAC_LNC004020)". Lineage: Eukaryota; Viridiplantae; Streptophyta; Magnoliopsida; Arecales; Arecaceae. The record is from RNAcentral.
UAACUUGAAUAUUUAAAACUUUGUGGAUGAUUAAUUUAAAACUAUAGCAAGUUGUUUAAUUAAAGCUAAGUGCUGUGAGUAGUGUCCGGGGAAGAAGAUGAGAGACAAUGCACUACAAACACAAAGUUUUAUAGUGGUUCGGAGCUAACCCUUGCUCCUACGUCCACUCCCCAAGUCUCACUUGGGAAUUUCACUAUAACCCCCUUGGAUUACAGCCGGUUGUUUUGCAAGCUCACAACCAAACUUGUUGUUUUACGAGCUCACAACGAACUCGGUCGGUUUUCCCAGGCUCACCGACUAGAACCAACCCCGAUUGUUUUCC